UGGGGAAUAUUGCACAAUGGGCGCAAGCCUGAUGCAGCCAUGCCGCGUGUGUGAAGAAGGCCUUCGGGUUGUAAAGCACUUUCAGCGAGGAGGAAGGUGGUGAGCUUAAUACGCUCAUCAAUUGACGUUACUCGCAGAAGAAGCACCGGCUAACUCCGUGCCAGCAGCCGCGGUAAUACGGAGGGUGCAAGCGUUAAUCGGAAUUACUGGGCGUAAAGCGCACGCAGGCGGUUUGUUAAGUCAGAUGUGAAAUCCCCGGGCUCAACCUGGGAACUGCAUUUGAAACUGGCAAGCUAGAGUCUCGUAGAGGGGGGUAGAAUUCCAGGUGUAGCGGUGAAAUGCGUAGAGAUCUGGAGGAAUACCGGUGGCGAAGGCGGCCCCCUGGACGAAGACUGACGCUCAGGUGCGAAAGCGUGGGGCAGCAAACAGGAUUAGAUACCCUGGUAGUCCACGCUGUAAACGAUGUCGAUUUU
Molecule: ribosomal RNA, 473 nt
Filed under: uncultured bacterium
Lineage: Bacteria
Description: partial 16S ribosomal RNA
Rfam family: Bacterial small subunit ribosomal RNA
Source: RNAcentral